Long non-coding RNA from Carassius carassius (crucian carp), 396 nucleotides. RefSeq lists it as uncharacterized. The record is from RefSeq and is a predicted model, not a curated record. The transcript has 3 exons. NCBI's taxonomy places the organism in Eukaryota, Metazoa, Chordata, Actinopteri, Cypriniformes, Cyprinidae.
UUCACAGAAGAGAAGGAAGACCAAGGAAAUGAUUUGAUCAGGAUGAGGAAUGAAGAGCUCAUCUUGUGCUCAAACAAACAGAAGUCCUCUGAUGAUCUCAUCAGCCAAAUGAGGGGUUUUGAUCAAGUGAUGCUCUUGAAAGGAGUGAAAGAAGAGGAUGUGGUAAAUUGUCUUCAGAGAAAAGGCUUCUCAAAAGGUCUUAAAACAGCUUGAAGAAUGGUCUGGGAUCUUAGGACUGAGAGAUCCUCUGGCUGAGAACAUGCUACACCACAUCGGUGCUGGAUAUCAACCACAAACUGUUUCCAGACACGAGAGAAGAAGAUCACGAUGGGGAGAUGAAACCAGUUUAGAUGUGAUGAUAAGGAAUCAUUAUUUUCUGGAACAGUAUCACAUGUC